AUCAAAAACAUAGCCUUAGGAAACUUGAUCUAAGGUUAAACCUGCCCAAUGUAAGUUUUAUGAAUGGCCGCGGUACUUUGACCGUGCUAAGGUAGCGCAAUCAAUUGGCUUUUAAUUGAAGCCAUGUAUGAAUGGAAUCACGGGGUUUAGCUGUCUCCUAACUAUUUUAUCAAAAUUACUAUUCAGGUGAAAAAGCCUGAAAAAAGAAAAAGGACGAGAAGACCCUUAGAGUUUUUCUAAAAUUAGAAAUAUUUUUCUAAACAGUUUCGUUGGGGCAACAUAGGAGCAGAAAUAUUAACCUCCUGUAAAAUAUCUACCGAUAAUAUUAAAAAUGAAUAAACUACCUUAGGGAUAACAGCAUAAUUUUAUAAAUAAGUUUGUGACCUCGAUGUUGGACUAGGAAACUGAAAGGCUAGCCGCCUUUUAGGAAAGUUCUGUUCGAACUAUUAUUCCUACGUGAUCUGAGUUCA
Molecule: ribosomal RNA, 470 nt
Filed under: Jorunna artsdatabankia
Lineage: Eukaryota; Metazoa; Mollusca; Gastropoda; Nudibranchia; Discodorididae
Description: partial large subunit ribosomal RNA
Rfam family: Bacterial large subunit ribosomal RNA
Source: RNAcentral